This is a long non-coding RNA of Oryctolagus cuniculus (rabbit), 2046 nucleotides long. The record is from Ensembl. NCBI's taxonomy places the organism in Eukaryota, Metazoa, Chordata, Mammalia, Lagomorpha, Leporidae.
AUGCGAAGCUCCCAAACGCGAAACCCCAAGGGCAGGACGCGCAUCGCUGCGGGGGCCUGGCAGGAGCCAAGGAGGUGGAAUCUGUGGCUGCCCGCGGAACCCUGUCCGCGGACCCCUGCCCUAGGCACCGCGCCCCUCCGCCGCCCCGACCCCUGCCCGCGGCGCUACGCCCCCUCCGCCGCCCGUCGGCCACCCCGCACUCACCGAUCCAGGCUGCCGGCUGGCCGGGUCGCAGGCCAGCGACAUGAGAUCUUUGAGCGGGUCCUGAGGGUUGAGAUGCGGCGGGUAGCGGAUGGCCGUGUGCGGGAAGUAGGUGGACGCCAUCUGCUGCAGGAUGGACGUGGUGGGGAAGUGCAGGGCGGAGGACGGAUGCGGCGGGUAGCGGAUGGCCGUGUGCGGGAAGUAGGUGGACGCCAUCUGCUGCAGGAUGGACGUGGUGGGGAAGUGCAGGGCGGAGGACGGGUGCGGACUCCGGACGAUGCCUACGCGGCGGGGCGGUGAGCGCGGGGCUUGGGCCCAGCGCUCCGCCCUGGCCCCGGUCCCGCUCCGCGCCUGUGUGUGCGCUCUGCCCCAAGCCUCUGGCCCCGGCCCCGCGCCGGUGUGCGCGCUCUGCCCCAAGCCCCUGGCCCCGGCCCCGCGCCGGUGUGCGCGCUCUGCCCCUGGCCCCCGCCCAGCCCCGCGCUCACGGCUGUGCACGGCGAUCACGGGCUAGUGGUGCUGCGUGAAGCUGCACAGGCGCGGCGAGUCCUGGGGCGAGGGGCUGUUGAAUGGCGACUUGUCCAUCUCCGUCUUUUUCAUGGGCGACAAGAUGCCUGCGCGGGGCGGGGACGCCGCUGAGCCGCGAAGAGCCCCAGGCCCCCGCCCGCGUGAACGCAGCCUCGCACGUCUGCUGCUCACUCCCCAGCCGCCGGCUUCAGCUGGGAGCUCCGCUCCCUCGGGUCUCCCCAAGGGCGCGGCGACUACAGCCCGAAGCCGCCCCCGGCCCGCCCUGUGGGGCCCCAGGGUCUGUGCCCCAAGCCCGCCCUGCAUACUCCCUUCUGUCCUUGGCCGCCUCCCCCUCCCCAGGCAGGGGCCUGCCCGCCGCCCCCCACACCGCCCUCCGCUGGGAGGGGCGUCACUGGGACUUCUCCGGGGCCCAGGCCAGCUGGGCUAAGGGCUGAGCCACUCCCGGGGGUCUCAUGGCCCACCUGGUGCCACCGCCUGGGGGUCUGGGGUUCCCUGGGGGGGGGACCCUAGGGGAGAGGAAGCUGGGCUGGCCCUGCAGACUGCGCGUGUGCACCCGUGUGUGCAUCCGUGUGUGCGUGCGUGUACCUGUGUGCACCCGUGUGCAUCCUUGUGUGUAUCCGUGUGUUCACCCGUGUAUGCAUGUGCACCUGUGCGUGUGUGUGUACCCGUGUGCAUGCGUGUGUACCUGUGUGUGUGUGUGUGUGUGCAUGUAUGUGUGCGGACGCUUGCUCACAGGAUCUCCCAGCAGAGUUACCCCAAGUGGAAGCCACGCCAGGAACCCAAGGGGUCGGACUAGGGCUGGGGGAGCUGGGCAGGGCGGGGGGACGAGGAGGGCGGGGCGGGGUUGGGGGGGCGGCGCAGGCUGGAGCGAGCCUGUGGUCCUCAGAGUUGACUAAGGGGAGUGGCAGGAAAUGGCUCCUCUGAACCUUCCUGGAACUGCUGGGGUGCAAGGCUAGGGUCCUGGAGGCCUGGGUGGGACGGCCAAGGGGCCGGGACCAACGCCCCCUCCCUCGUGCGUUUCUCGCUCAAGCUUCCUGCGCCUUUAUUCCCAGUUCCCCCUUCCCCAUUGAACAGGACGCCGGCUAGAAUUCUCUCGGGAGGGCUUCGCCUGCAUCCCAGCUCUGCUCACCUGGGCCCUGCGCCCGCAUGGGGGACCUGGAUGGAGAUCCUGGCUCCUGGGUGCAGCCUGCCCCACCCCGGCCUUGUUGGCCAUCUGGGGAGUGACCCAGUGGGUAGAGGACCCCUCUCUCUCUCCCUCCCUCUCUUGUUAUCUCAUUAAAUAGAUAAAUAAACCUUAAAAAAAAAGGUUUAUAUUUGUCA